This 72-nucleotide transfer RNA is filed under the name Planctomycetota bacterium. RNAcentral describes it as "Planctomycetes bacterium (wastewater metagenome) tRNA-Val". It matches the Rfam family "tRNA". From Rfam's summary of the family: Transfer RNA (tRNA) molecules are approximately 80 nucleotides in length. Their secondary structure includes four short double-helical elements and three loops (D, anti-codon, and T loops). The record is from RNAcentral. Lineage: Bacteria; Pseudomonadati; Planctomycetota.
GGGUUGUUAACUCAGCGGGAGAGUGCUACCUUCACACGGUAGAAGUCGGAGGUUCAAACCCUCUACAACCCA